UCCCUGAUAGUCCAAUGGUUAGGACUCUGCACUUCCACUGCAGAGAGCCUAGGUUUAUCCCUGGUUGGGGAA
Molecule: transfer RNA, 72 nt
Filed under: Ovis aries (sheep)
Lineage: Eukaryota; Metazoa; Chordata; Mammalia; Artiodactyla; Bovidae
Rfam family: tRNA
About the family: Transfer RNA (tRNA) molecules are approximately 80 nucleotides in length. Their secondary structure includes four short double-helical elements and three loops (D, anti-codon, and T loops).
Source: Rfam by way of RNAcentral